AUGUCAUGGUCGAGCAUAUCGAAAGCUCUCGAUAAAUCACAGAAAACCAACAGUUUGUUGUUGUAUGUCAAUGGACUGAAUCCAGUCUUCUACUACCAAGUGAAGAGCAGAUUCACAGGAAUGAAGCUUCCUGAAACCGGACUGGAAUUGUGUAAGGAGCUGGUUUUGGUCCAGAGCAGCAGGGUUUUUGUACGGCCGCUAAACCUGUUUGUAUCACUGUGGUGGACUUUUGGUGGAGGAACCAAACUGUCUGUGGGCCGUGUCACUCAGCCCAGUGUGACGGUGUUGCCUCCCUCCAGUGUGGAGCUGCAGCAGGAGAAGGUCACACUCAUGUGUGUGGCCGACAAGGGCUUCCCCUCGGACUGGACACUGAGCUGGAAGGUUGAUGGGAGCAGCUGGAGCUCGGGGGAGAGCCGCAGCACCGCCGUUCUGCACGCGGACGGCCUCUACAGCUGGAGCAGCACGCUGAGCCUCCACCCGGAGCAGUGGAGGAACAAGGUGGUGACCUGUGAGGCCUCCAAAGACAACCAACCUACUGUGGUGGGCAGAGUGAACACAGAGCAGUGCUCAGAGCUGUGA
Molecule: non-coding RNA, 579 nt
Organism: Neoarius graeffei (lesser salmon catfish)
Lineage: Eukaryota; Metazoa; Chordata; Actinopteri; Siluriformes; Ariidae
Source: the annotation of a RefSeq genome assembly